GAUGAACGCUGGCGGCGUGCCUAAUACAUGCAAGUCGAGCGAACGGACGAGAAGCUUGCUUCUCUGAUGUUAGCGGCGGACGGGUGAGUAACACGUGGAUAACCUACCUAUAAGACUGGGAUAACUUCGGGACACCGGAGCUAAUACCGGAUAAUAUUUUGAACCGCAUGGUUCAAAAGUGAAAGACGGUCUUGCUGUCUCUACUCGAUGGAUCCGCGCUGCAUUAGCUAGUUGGUAAGGUAACGGCCUAUCAAGGGAACGAGGCAUGACCGAAGUGAGAGAGUGAUCGCCCACACUGGAGCGUAGACACGGACCAGAGUACUACGGGAGGCAGCAGUAGGGAAUCGUCCGCAAUGGGCGAAAGCCUGACGGAGCAACGGCGCGUGAGUGAUGAAGGCCUUCGGAGCGUAAAACUGUGUUUCUAGGGAAGAACAGAUGUGUAAGUAACCGAGCAGAUAUUGACGGUACCGAAUCAGAAAGCCACGGCUAACUACGUG
Molecule: ribosomal RNA, 497 nt
Filed under: uncultured bacterium
Lineage: Bacteria
Description: partial 16S ribosomal RNA
Rfam family: Bacterial small subunit ribosomal RNA
Source: RNAcentral